CCUACGGGAGGCAGCAGUGGGGAAUAUUGCGCAAUGGGCGAAAGCCUGACGCAGCGACGCCGCGUGAGGGAUGAAGGUCUUCGGAGCGUAAACCUCUGUCAGCAGGGAAGAACGGUCACUGUGCUAAUCAGCAGUGAAUUGACGGUACCUGCAAAGGAAGCACCGGCGAACUCCGUGCCAGCAGCCGCGAUAAUACGGGGGGUGCGAGCGUUAAUUGGAAUUACUGGGCGGAAAGCGCUCGUAGGCGGUAUGUCAAGUCAAGGGUGAAAUCCCGCGGCUCAACGUGGGAACUGCCUUUGAAACUGGCAAACUUGAGUGUGUGAGAGGAUAGUGGAAUUCGAGGUGUAGGAGUGAAAUCCGUAGAUAUCUGGAGGAACAUCAGUGGCGAAGGCGACUAUCUGGAACAUAACUGACGCUGAGGAGCGAAAGCGUGGGUAGCAAACAGGAUUAGAUACCCGAGUAGUC
This 465-nucleotide ribosomal RNA is filed under the name uncultured bacterium. RNAcentral's name for it is "partial 16S ribosomal RNA". It matches the Rfam family "Bacterial small subunit ribosomal RNA", at positions 338 to 795 of the family's 1533-position model. The record is from RNAcentral.